AGCGAACGCUGGCGGCAGGCCUAACACAUGCAAGUCGAACGCCCCUUCGGGGGAGUGGCGGACGGGUGAGUAACGCGUGGGAACGUGCCCUUUGGUACGGAACAACUGAGGGAAACUUCAGCUAAUACCGUAUGUGCCCCCAUUCUUAGCGGGAUGGGUGGGAAAGAUUUAUCGCCAUUGGAGCGGCCCGCGUUAGAUUAGCUAGUUGGUAGGGUAAUGGCCUACCAAGGCGACGAUCUAUAGCUGGUCUGAGAGGAUGAUCAGCCACACUGGGACUGAGACACGGCCCAGACUCCUACGGGAGGCAGCAGUGGGGAAUCUUGCGCAAUGGGCGAAAGCCUGACGCAGCCAUGCCGCGUGAAUGAUGAAGGUCUUAGGAUUGUAAAAUUCUUUCACCGGGACGAUAAUGACGGUACCCGGAGAAGAAGCUCCGGCUAACUUCGUGCCAGCAGCCGCGGUAAUAGUACUCUA
RNAcentral lists this ribosomal RNA (471 nucleotides) under uncultured bacterium. Its description in RNAcentral is "bacterial SSU rRNA". It matches the Rfam family "Bacterial small subunit ribosomal RNA", at positions 29 to 530 of the family's 1533-position model. The record is from RNAcentral.